UUAGAAGAAUCAAACCUCUGGAACACAACGAUCUUGGCCUAAAAUGUAGACAAGAAAUGAUCUUGUAGAGCUUCUUGACUUUCUUUACCUUCACUUAAGCACUGCACAUGCAUAGAUAUAUGUAUCUUUUCUCUCUCUGUAAAUAUAUGUCUAUGUAUAUGCAUACAUAUAGAUAUGUGUAUGAUCUCUCAAACCCAUUAUUAUGAGUUCCAGUUCAUGGUGGGAAGAUGAAACUGUUGUCUCAAAACGCCAUCACCAAGAGAGCCAAGAAAUGUAUUAGGGUGAAAUGGUGUACCCUGUGGAAGCUGGCUGAGCAAAGAAACAAAGGAGGUGUUGUCUUCAGUAGCAGUGCCACAGCUAUUAAGAUCACCCUGAAAACGCUUCCCUGAGGGGGCUCCCAUGGAUGAUCCUGCAGCAGCAGCAGCAGCAGCAGCAGCUUCAUUCCAGUACUGAGACGGGAGUAAACGUUUUGCUGCAAGAGUAUUGGAAGUAGAAACUAACGGUAUGGAGACAUGUGGCUUGGGGCUUGAAGAGGGUAACUGAGAAAUAUUGGAGCUAUUUUGCAUGCCAUCGCUUCCUGUUAGUAUCCCUUCAAAGAAAUUCUCUUCAUUUUCAAGUACCGAUGCAUGACUUGUAGAUUUUGAAGCUACAGGGGGUUUCGGAUGUAUUGGUAGUGAAGAAAGCAAGCACUCCAUUGAAUCCUCCUUGUCCCUCUCCAUAGGUCUUUGCGAGUUGUUUUUCUUGUAAAUCCGGCAUAAAACCCAAUCGUCAAGCCUUAAAGAACCUUUCUUGUUAGCUGAAUCAACACCUGGAGGCUUUGAGGCAGAAGUAUUAUUAUCCACAAGGCGGUAUUCAUGCAUAAUCCAAUUAGUCUUAAUCCCUUUCGGAGGCUUACCACCAUAAAAAACCAGCGCCUUCUUCACGCCAACCUUUUGAGCUCCAUUAGAAGCUAGUAUAGGCUUAUCUGUUCCGGUGGCUUUCCAAUACCCUGAAGUUGCCGCCCGAUUAGGCCUAGCUCCGUUGGGGUAUUUCCGAUCUCUAGGACUGAAAAAGUACCACUCCUGCUCUCCAAACGUAGCCUUACUUGGUAGCUCCCACGGAUCAAACUUGUAGAGAUCAACCUCAGCGAUGAUGGUAACGGGAAGAGGAGCUGAAGCGGCCUUCUUUUUAAGAUAGUGGACGACUAGCUCUUCAUCGGUGGGGUGGAAGCGGAAGCCCGGCGGAAGAUGGGGGUGGUGGAAGGCGGAGGAUGAAUCGGUGCUCUCCAUGAAAAUUUGGUCCACGAAUUGAGUGAAAGGGGAAAAA
Molecule: unclassified non-coding RNA, 1305 nt
Filed under: Hevea brasiliensis (rubber tree)
Lineage: Eukaryota; Viridiplantae; Streptophyta; Magnoliopsida; Malpighiales; Euphorbiaceae
Source: RNAcentral